UGUUGGACAUCCCUGCUUUAGAUCACUCACUACAUAUGGCAUCAGGAAUCAGUUGAACCAACAGGUUUACAGCACCCCUUUACAUUCAUUUCAUUGUUUUUCCCAUCACACAAAAGCUAACUUUUAUGUGCACCCACCUCCUCCCCAAUUCAUCUUUGUGAUUUGCUGAGUGUCUGUUGAACAAUACUUACUGAUUUGCUUUGGGGGUCAUUUUCACCCUAACUGCAUCUGCAAGUGCUUGUGUCCUCACCUCAGCAGGUGGCCAGGCUUAAUGGCAGCUCUCAAUCGAGAACCUUUAGAUGACCCCUUCCCUCUGUUUACAGUAAGAGUUUUCCAAAAUAUGCAGUUGAGAGUUGCAUCUGUCAUCUUUAUAAUCUAGCAGCCCAACAGCUCUAAACCCGAGGCAUGUCUGUCGCUAAUUUUCUUUUCUUUUCAGCACCAGAUCAACACCUGGUUGGUCUCUUAGGUCAUUGUGACUUGUUGAUUGUGAUGCUGAACAAUGUAGUACAACCACUCUGCUGUUUUAAAAUUACUGAUGUAUAUUUGUAGGAGAGGGGUUAUCCCUUCUCAAAUUGUUUAAUUAUUAGGUGCCCCACCCUCAGAUUGGCCUAAAUGUUUUUAGUAAGUAAAUAAGUUUUCUUACUAAAGAAUGGACAGUGGUUGAAAAACUCAGGACAAUGGUUGAGAUACCAACACCAAAUUUACAGGGUUCUGGAUGGAAAGUAACAAUUGCUAACAUUUUAAUUGUCCAUGGGAUUAGCUAAGAGGAAACCAGACUAUGGUUGGCACAUCAAAAAGGAAGGAAGGAAGGAAGGAAGGAAGGAAGGAAGGAAGGAAGGAAGGAAGGAAGGCCUAAGGCAUUCCUUGAAAAUCCUGAAGUCUCAACAGCACACCAUUACUCAAUGGUGGGUUAAGUGCUUUGUAUGUAGAAGGUCCCAGGUUGAGACCACGGCAUUUUCAAGUAGGACUGGGGAAUAUACCUGUCUGAAACCCUGGACAGCUACUAUGAAUCUGUGCAGACAAUACCAACCUAAAGAGAUCAACAGCAUGACUUGGUUAAGCAGCUUUGUAAAAUCGGACACUUUCUUCAAAACUGUAUUUUAUGGCUGAUUUUAAUUGUUGUUCACCACUUUAAGUGGUGCACAGGUAUCAGAAGGUUGGGGUAUAUAUUUAUACAAAAUAAAUGAAAAAGCAGCAAUCUCAGACCACAAACCUAAGUCUGAGAUCAUCCUUUAUUAUACUGAAACUAAAGGUGGUGUGAAUACCUGUAAUGAUACGCUUCCAAAUAUAUAAUCAAACAGCAACCAAAGUUCGUUUCUCCAAUCUAUUAGACAUUGCCUGCUCAAAUGCCUACAUUGUUUGAAAUUGCUUGGAAACUGAAACCACAAUGGAGUGAACAUCCCCAAAUACCUCUCUCUUUCCUCACAGACCUGGGACUUGAGUUCAUCAAAUCCUAACUGGACUCUAGAAACACAGACAAUUGGUCUUGGUCAAGUUGAGAGAAGACACCUCAGAAAUGAUAGGGCCUGCCAUCAAGAAAAGGGGCAGGUGUCAUCUCUGUCAAAGACACGAGAAUCACAGUAACAAUGCAUUUCAUGUAACUGUUUUGUCUGACCAACUCAUGCAUAUGGUGAUUACGCAUAUGCUGCUUAAUGCAGUUGGUAUGCAAAAAAUGUUGCAGCUGUUGUUGUUACAGGUAAUUCA
This is a non-coding RNA of Podarcis lilfordi (Lilford's wall lizard), 1704 nucleotides long. NCBI's taxonomy places the organism in Eukaryota, Metazoa, Chordata, Lepidosauria, Squamata, Lacertidae. The record is from the annotation of a GenBank genome assembly.